ACCUGUAGUAAUGACCUUUUGCUGAAUACCAAUCGCCAUGAAAAAGGGUUCCUUGGUUCCCCCCCCCCUCCCAUGAACUGAACCGACAUCAACUAUAUUGGAUGCUGAGAAAUACUCACUACAGAUGAUCAACAGACUGGAAAUACAAGUAUAGUUCGGUUUCUUAAUUAUAAUACUAAAAUUGCAAAAAAUGACAUGAUAUUCUCUAAUCGUUUUCUUCUAGAAAGCAGAUUCCCAUAAGCUAAUAAGGAUGCAAAUCAUUAUUACCUGGAAACGUUACAUCCGUUUUGAUAGACAUUUCCAGCUACUUCUCAACGUAAGUAUCUGUGAAAUCGGAGCGCUUGCCAUUCUGAAAUCAACUUCUGCGAAUGCAACAGUAGAAUAAAUGAAUCGCCUGAAAAUGGAGCCAGCAUGCGAAAGCCUUCUGAAUGUCGUCUUCAUCAGGAAAAUGUUGCCUGGCUAGGAAGGAACCAUUUGAAGUGCUAAAACAGGACAAGAGAAUUUUCUAGGAAGCAAACCAUUACUACUUGAAACCAUCCAUCAAAACAGAAGCAGAAUUUCCAAUUUAUCAACGUAAUAAGACUUGGUUAGUGUUACUGAUAUCCUUCAGAAUAAUUGAGGUUGGAUUAGAUUUUGAUGCAUAGUAAUCUUUUGUUCAAUAAAGGGUCCCCAUUUACACUAAAAGUGAGAUUGCUGUCUCCGUUACCACACUUAUUAUGAACCGACAUCUAUUGCGAUGUAUGUUGUGAAAUGCUCACUACAGAUGACAUUGAAAUGUUGGAAAAUCAAGUAUCCUUUCGUUUCUUAUUUAUAAUAUUGAAAUCACAAAAAUGACAUUCUCUAACCAUUUUAUUUGAUUUUCCAGAAAACAUUGAACUGCAAGGAGGCAAACCAUAAUUACUCGUCAACAUCUAUUAAAACGGAUGCAGAAUUUCUAGCUAUUUCUGAAAAUAGAAAAGCGGAGGAACUGAAGCGCGUGCCAUCCCGAGAUCAUCUUUCGUGAGUAGAGGGACCGAACAAAUCAAUCGCCAGAGCAUGGAAUCAACAUGCGACAGCCUUUUGCAUGUCUCCUCGUCACAAGUAAAAUGUUGCCAGGCCAGAAACCUUUUUAAAGUGCAGAAAUGGAACAAGAAAUAUUUCCAGCGACUACUUCAGUUUCUGACAAAUUCUCUACCAGCAAUCUGGGUGAUCGAGAAACUUUUCUCAGAAUGGUAUCGUAGAGAUAACGAUGUAGAAAAAGUUGGAUACCUACUGCUUAUAUUAAAUGUCUUUUUCUGAAUCAAGACAUGUUAUCCAUCCAUGAAGUAAUAAGGGUUUCGUGAUUCCAUAUAGCUUUGGAAUUGACGCCAUUUAUGCUGCAUAUGAAAACAAGUUUUCUGAAGACAUGCGGAGGCAAACUACAUAUAAUUUAUGUGGAAGGUUCUAUCAAGACAGAAGCGGGCUUUCCAGCUAUUUCUCAACACAAAGUUACCUGAAUGAUUCUGAAGCGAUAUCGGCAUGUUGCAAGAAUUUCGGCGUAUCACUCAUCACCAGAAGAUACUGCUUUCUUGGUUCCACACAUGCUCUGAACUGACAGCAACUAAGCUGGAUGCUAUGAAAUACUCUCUACUAAUAUCAAAACAUUGGAAAUCUAAGUAUACAUUCAACUUCUUAAUCAAAUUAAAUAGCAAGAACAUGGCAUUUUCUAAUCACUUUUAUUCUUGUAGAAGGCAAAUUUCCAGUAAGCUGUAAGGAGGCAAACCACAAUCAUCUGUAAAUAUCUAUCAAAACAGAAGCAGCGUACCCAGCUAUUUCUCAAUACGCGAAAUGGCGAAAUUGAUGCCAUUCCGAGAUCAACUUCUGCAACUAUAGUGUCUGAAGAAAUCGGUCGAUGGAGAAUGAAUCUACCGUGUGACAGCCUUCUGCAAGUCCCUCACUACUAAAAUGUUGCUCUGCUAUAAGCCUCUUCAAGUACACGAACAGAACGACAAAUGUCGGGUGUCUGUUAGGAAUACGCCUUCAUCGAUGUGAUCCUGGAAUAACAGACAAUACCUGGACCCUUCAUCAAGCGCAUAUUGGAGUGCGGAUGCUGCACAGUUCAAUUACGGACGAAGACUAUAUUUGAAUUUAUGUUAUCAAUAUGUUCACAAGCAAAUUUCAAACGGAACUAAUUGACUAGAUGCAAGAAACGGAUAUUGUAAAUACAGCGACAUAACAAAUUUGAUGGAACAAAACCUAGAUUUAAUUUUCGUGGUGCCUUCCUCUAUAAAUUGCAUUUGAGAACAUAUUUGUUAUUACCGAAUUUGCUAAGAAUUGUUUGACAUGACAGAUUGCUACUAUACAAUUUUAAGUCUUGGAUUUUCAUUACUGUAGUCUUUUUAACCAUUAUAUCGGCAGAAUUUCUUUCCAUUUACAAACCAAUUUUAUAAAGAACACUGCACCCUUUCGUUGUAACUGAAGCAAUUUCUUGACCUUGUUUGUUUCUAAAACUUCAUUUCGUGAUUUUGAAUGACUAUUAUUAAAGAAUCCUUCAUAUUCGAAUAGGUGUUAAUUCCUGUAUCUAUAACGAAGUUUGGAUUUUGUGAGGAUUUUGAUCUCUGUUAUGCUUAGUAUCAAUUACGUAAAACAAUUUGUCUCUAAAUUUCCGUUAGUUAUCAAUCUCGAGAUCUUGAUAAUCAGCUUUUAUCUAAAAGUUCUCUGAAUUGUACAAUAUGGCGUUUAAUAUGUACUUAUGUUUGAUUAAAAUAUGAAAUAUUCCUUAAAGGAAACAAUGCUUCUGUCUUAUGUAUACGAGGUAGAAAGAUGCAUUGGUAACAAAUGUUUUUCCAAUUGUUUGAAAUAAGGUUUAAAAUAUCGCAGUUAUUCUCUAAAUUAAAUCUUGUAUUCGCACACAUGAAAUAAUGCUAGGUUUUGAUAAAAUAUUUUUAUAAUUGCAUAGAAAUAUUAAUAG
Molecule: long non-coding RNA, 2929 nt
Organism: Argiope bruennichi
Lineage: Eukaryota; Metazoa; Arthropoda; Arachnida; Araneae; Araneidae
Exons: 8
Source: RefSeq, a predicted model, not a curated record